CCGAUCUUAGCUCAGUUGGUAGAGCGGAGGACUGUAGUAUCCCGCAGAUAAAUCCUUAGGUCGCUAGUUCGAAUCCGGCAGAUCAUA
RNAcentral lists this transfer RNA (87 nucleotides) under Asparagus officinalis (garden asparagus). Its description in RNAcentral is "tRNA A4U43_Tyr450". It matches the Rfam family "tRNA". From Rfam's summary of the family: Transfer RNA (tRNA) molecules are approximately 80 nucleotides in length. Lineage: Eukaryota; Viridiplantae; Streptophyta; Magnoliopsida; Asparagales; Asparagaceae. The record is from Rfam by way of RNAcentral.